GGUGAACGUUGGCGGCGCGUCUAAUACAUGCAAGUCGAGCGAGGCUUCGAGCCGAGCGGCGGACGGCUGAGUAACACGUUGGUAGCUACCCCGUACUCAGGGAUAACACUGAGAAAUCAGUGCUAAUACCGGAUGGUCCCGAAAGGGUAAAGAUUUAUCGGUACGGGAGGUGCCUGCGGCCUAUCAGCUAGUUGGUGAGGUAAUGGCUCACCAAGGCUAUGACGGGUAACUGGUCUGAGAGGACGACCAGUCAGAGGGAAACUGAGACACGGUUCCCACUCCUACGGGAGGCAGCAGUAAAGAAUCUUCCGCAAUGGACGCAAGUCUGACGGAGCGACGCCGCGUGCAGGAUGAAGGCCUUCGGGUCGUAAACUGCUUUCUGAGGGAAUAAUUCUGAAUGUACCUCAGGAAUAAGCACCGGCAAAUCACGUG
RNAcentral lists this ribosomal RNA (432 nucleotides) under uncultured bacterium. Its description in RNAcentral is "bacterial SSU rRNA". It matches the Rfam family "Bacterial small subunit ribosomal RNA", at positions 28 to 507 of the family's 1533-position model. The record is from RNAcentral.